GAUGAACGCUGGCGGCGUGCUUAACACAUGCAAGUCGAACGGAAAGGCUCCUGCUUGCAGGGGUACUCGAGUGGCGAACGGGUGAGUAACACGUGGGUGAUCUGCCCUGCACUUCGGGAUAAGCCUGGGAAACUGGGUCUAAUACCGGAUAGGACGAUGGUUUGGAUGCCAUUGUGGAAAGUUUUUCGGUGUGGGAUGAGCUCGCGGCCUAUCAGCUUGUUGGUGGGGUAAUGGCCUACCAAGGCGUCGACGGGUAGCCGGCCUGAGAGGGUGUACGGCCACAUUGGGACUGAGAUACGGCCCAGACUCCUACGGGAGGCAGCAGUGGGGAAUAUUGCACAAUGGGCGCAAGCCUGAUGCAGCGACGCCGCGUGGGGGAUGACGGCCUUCGGGUUGUAAACUCCUUUCGCUAGGGACGAAGCGCAAGUGGCGGUACCUGGUGAAGAAGCACCGGCUAACUACGUG
This 465-nucleotide ribosomal RNA is filed under the name uncultured bacterium. RNAcentral describes it as "partial 16S ribosomal RNA". It matches the Rfam family "Bacterial small subunit ribosomal RNA", at positions 28 to 507 of the family's 1533-position model. The record is from RNAcentral.